UACGUAGGGUGCGAGCGUUAAUCGGAAUUACUGGGCGUAAAGCGUGCGCAGGCGGUUCGUUAAGUUCGUUGUGAAAGCCCCGGGCUCAACCUGGGAACUGCAAUGGAAACUGGCGGGCUUGAAUGCGGCAGAGGGGGGUGGAAUUCCGCGUGUAGCAGUGAAAUGCGUAGAGAUGCGGAGGAACACCGGUGGCGAAGGCGGGUCUCUGGGCCGAUACUGACGCUGAGGAGCGAAAGCGUGGGGAGCGAACAGG
RNAcentral lists this ribosomal RNA (253 nucleotides) under uncultured bacterium. Its description in RNAcentral is "partial 16S ribosomal RNA". It matches the Rfam family "Bacterial small subunit ribosomal RNA", at positions 524 to 776 of the family's 1533-position model. The record is from RNAcentral.